ACAACUAUCCGCAACGGAUGAUUAGGAUCUCACCUCGAUAAUGUAAGAAGCGAAACGAAGAUGGGUCAUGGAAGGUUAAUCAACUCGACAUCUUCUAAAUUUUGAACGCAUGGUUUCAUGCAUAGGAACACCUGGUAGCAAGCUUGUACGAGUGU
RNAcentral lists this ribosomal RNA (155 nucleotides) under uncultured freshwater alga. Its description in RNAcentral is "5.8S ribosomal RNA". The record is from RNAcentral.